UCAUCCCAACAAAGAAGUUUGUUCUCACAAAAAACUCGGUUUUUGGUACUGUUGUGAAAAACCUUAAAUAUUUAUACUCUGUGAGAUUGGCAACAAGAGCAUUGCGAGAUUGGCAUAAAGUUACAACAUUUUUUUACUAGUACUAGUAGUACUAGUGAAAAGACUGUGAAAGGAAUAGGGUUUUUUUUUAAACCAAAAUCCAGGAAGGGCUAUCUAUAUACGCCGCUGGUAUUUAUGGAAAUCUCAUCUUCAAAAAAUGUUGGACGCCCACAAAAAGAUUUUGCGUAUUGUUGCAAAAAUACGCAAGUCAAAAAAUUGUCAGACCUAUCUGAAGAUGUCCCAUUACAUGCAUUGUUGGUAACUGCAACUGCAAUCAUUAUACGGAAGUCAUGGAAUGAUUUUGGAGCCAUUAACAGUGCAGAACGGACCGAUAGUUUUAUGGAAAAACGAUACCCCUUUUUCUACUCCAUUUUGUCGACCCAUUAAUAUACUUUGCGAGAAAGAAUCGGCUGACUUAAUUCGCAUAGAAAGUCAAAAUAUUAAAAUCCAAAUAUGAAAUAUUUUACCUAAUUAAUGAGUGGCUUUAGAAUUGAUCACCAAUUUCGCAAAAGCAAUAAAAGAAUAAAUUGCAGGAUAAAUAUAAAUAUAUGAGAUCUAGAGUUUAUUAAUCUAUAUAUAUAAAAAUGAAACCCGUUUACCGUUGUCAGAAAAUCACAUGAAAACGGCUUGACCGACUUGGCUGAUUUCUUUUUGUAGUAUUCUAAUAUUCUGUACAAGGUACUUACGGAAAAAAAUAUUAAGAAAAGCGUUUUUAAGUAGCUGCGAAAACUAUAAAGACCACCCUUUCCUAUUUCCUAUACGUUUAGAGUAUAGGAAGGAGUCCUGGUUGCGUUUAGAAAUUGGUUGAUAUUUAGUGACAACACAUUAAGUUUCUUUGUUUUAAAGACUAAAAAGUUUUUUGUUUGCUAAUAAGUGUUUGUUAGUCAUGAAACCACUACAAGAAACCAAAAAUGCCAGCAACCACACGUAGAAACUUAAGCCGCAGAACUCGAAGUACGGCAAGUCAAAGAUAUAUAAGGUCAAAUCUAACUGAUGAGCAACGCGAAGCGCGAAACUAACUUCAACGGAAUCUAAAUCAACAUAGAAUUUUUGUGUUUAAUCCCCACAGAGCUGCAUUCAGUUAUAAUGGGGCAAUUGAUUACAGUCCAGAGCAAAUUGUUGAUAUUGGGCUAAUGAAUAUUUUGUGUCGACAUUGCAAUGCAUUGAAAUUCAAAAAAGAAGCCCCUGAACUGUGUUGCGCCAGCGGCCAAGUCAAAUUGACGCCAUUGGUACCACCACCACCACCAAUUGCUCUACAAUAGUGGUGCAGAAAACAUCGAUGGAAACAUCGAUACCUCGAUGUUUUGGAAAAAUGAAAAACAUCGAUGUUUAUUUUUGACCAUCGAUGUUUUGGUGCCAUCACUUUUAGAAGAAGAAGCAAUAAAAGAGUGUAAAGGGCAUGCGAUUGGUUGUGUAGGUGGAGGCGCUGUGUGUUUUAUAAAGAUGGGAACAACAAAGAAAAACGAAGCUCCGUCUUCCAAACGGAUUUAAAAAAACAUCAGGACAAAGCUACCUGUCUUCACUGUGGCAAAAUUUUGAAAACGUCGGGAAAUACGACAAACAUCAUACGACAAACAUCAUGGA
Long non-coding RNA from Drosophila bipectinata, 1683 nucleotides. RefSeq lists it as uncharacterized. NCBI's taxonomy places the organism in Eukaryota, Metazoa, Arthropoda, Insecta, Diptera, Drosophilidae. The record is from RefSeq and is a predicted model, not a curated record.